UAUCAUACUAGCAGCAUGUGGCACUAUUUGUUACUAAGAUACUGGCGGCUAGAGUUUAUACACAUAGAAAUGUAUGUAAAAUAUAUAAAUGUAUAAUGUAAAAAACAUCCAUGCACAGAAGAAACUCAGAAUUUCUUGGAUAAAUUCAUAAGCAUAUACACACAUACCUUCACAUUUAUAACAAUGCACACACACACGAUUUCCUGGCUAUAUCCACAUGUGUAAACAAAUGCAAGUGCUCGAAUACAUUUAAUUUCUUUCAAUUGAUUCUGCAUGUUCCUAAUUUAAGGGAGCAACUGACCAUCGCUGCCAAGACUCUUCCAGUGAUCAGGGCAAUGAAACAGGCUGUCUACAAACCAUAAAAGGCUCAUUAACUUAACAAAAGGCCAACACUCUGGAUUUGGUUUCCCUUAGAAGCAUUAACACUAUUAAGCAAUGUUCCAUCUUUGGGGUGUGUGGAAGAAUCCCAUUUCCAGCUUCCUGUCAGCUUCUAAAUCAACACCAGGACGGGACAUGGCUUCUGCUUCUAUGCGGUCCUCUGGCUCAGCAAGAUUUUUGCAGCAUUUGCAGAAACUUAAAGGACCAGCACUCUUUCAAAAAGCAAAGAGCUCCCCUGGGGGUGUGUAGCUUGGUGGUAGAUACCGCAUGUUGCUCAAGGCCUUCAGUUCGAGCACUGGAGUGUGAGCACUCACACAGACAAAGCAAAGAAUUUCACAAAUGUGUCUUUUCUAUUUCUUAUAUAAGAACACUGAAAAAUGAGGAUAAGGCAAGUGAGUUCAAAUGUGGCUUCUGUGAACGAGGAUGGUUGUUUGUAAGCAGGCAUUCGUCACACGGCUCCCCCAACCCCACCCUGAUUCUUGAAAGCCCUUAA
RNAcentral lists this long non-coding RNA (871 nucleotides) under Cricetulus griseus (Chinese hamster). Its description in RNAcentral is "lncRNA (ENSCGRG00000025658.1)". Lineage: Eukaryota; Metazoa; Chordata; Mammalia; Rodentia; Cricetidae. The record is from RNAcentral.